Molecule: ribosomal RNA, 492 nt
Filed under: uncultured bacterium
Lineage: Bacteria
Description: bacterial SSU rRNA
Rfam family: Bacterial small subunit ribosomal RNA
Source: RNAcentral
AUUGAACGCUGGCGGAAUGCUUUACACAUGCAAGUCGAACGGCAGCACGGGGCAACCUGGUGGCGAGUGGCGAACGGGUGAGUAAUACAUCGGAACGUGCCCAAUCGUGGGGGAUAACGUAGCGAAAGUUACGCUAAUACCGCAUACGAUCUACGGAUGAAAGCGGGGGAUCGCAAGACCUCGCGCGAGUGGAGCGGCCGAUGUCAGAUUAGGUAGUUGGUGGGGUAAAGGCUCACCAAGCCAACGAUCUGUAGCUGGUCUGAGAGGACGACCAGCCACACUGGAACUGAGACACGGUCCAGACUCCUACGGGAGGCAGCAGUGGGGAAUUUUGGACAAUGGGCGCAAGCCUGAUCCAGCCAUUCCGCGUGCAGGAUGAAGGCCUUCGGGUUGUAAACUGCUUUUGUACAGAACGAAAAGUACUUUAAUAACACUAGAGGCUCAUGACGGUACUGUAAGAAUAAGACACCGGCUAACUACGUGCCAGCAGCC